GUCGAGCGAGGACUUCGGUCCUAGCGGCGGACGGGUGAGUAACGCGUGGGAACGUGCCCUUUGCUACGGAAUAGUCCCGGGAAACUGGGUUUAAUACCGUAUGUGCCCUCUAUUUUGGUGAUGGUUGGGGAAAGAUUUAUCGGCAAAGGAUCGGCCCGCGUUGGAUUAGGUAGUUGGUGGGGUAAUGGCCUACCAAGCCGACGAUCCAUAGCUGGUUUGAGAGGAUGAUCAGCCACACUGGGACUGAGACACGGCCCAGACUCCUACGGGAGGCAGCAGUGGGGAAUCUUAGACAAUGGGGGCAACCCUGAUCUAGCCAUGCCGCGUGAGUGAAGAAGGCCUUCGGGUUGUAAAGCUCUUUUGUCAGGGAAGAAACGGUUGUUCCUAAUACGGACGGCUAAUGACGGUACCUGAAGAAUAAGCACCGGCUAACUACGUGCCAGCAGCCGCGGUAAUACGUAGGGUGCAAGCGUUAAUCGGAAUUACUGGGCGUAAAGCGUGCGCAGGCGGUUAUGUAAGACAGAUGUGAAAUGCCCGGGCUUAACCUGGGAACUGCAUUUGUGACUGCAUGGCUAGAGUUUGGCAGAGGGGGGUAGAAUUCCACGUGUAGCAGUGAAAUGCGUAGAUAUGUGGAGGAACACCGAUGGCGAAGGCAGCCCCCUGGGUCAAGACUGACGCUCAUGCACGAAAGCGUGGGGAGCAAACAGGA
RNAcentral lists this ribosomal RNA (709 nucleotides) under uncultured bacterium. RNAcentral describes it as "bacterial SSU rRNA". It matches the Rfam family "Bacterial small subunit ribosomal RNA", at positions 61 to 777 of the family's 1533-position model. The record is from RNAcentral.